AGUGAACGCUGGCGGUAGGCCUAACACAUGCAAGUCGAACGGCAGCACAGUAAGAGCUUGCUCUUACGGGGUGCGAGUGGCGGACGGGUGAGGAAUACAUCGUAAUCUACUUUUUCGUGGGGGAUAACGUAGGUAAACUUACUCUAAUACCGCAUACGACCUACGGGUGAAAGCAGGGGAUCUUCGGACCUUGCGCGAAUGAAUGAGCCGAUGUCGGAUUAGCUAGGUGGCGGGGUAAAGGCCCACCAAGGCGACGAUCCGUAGCUGGUCGGAGAGGCGGAUCAGCCACCCUGGAGCGGGGACACGGUCCAGACUCCUACGGGAGGCAGCAGUGGGGAAUAUUGGACAAUGGGCGGAAGCCUGACCCAGCCAUACCGCGUCGGUGACGAAGGCCUUCGGGUUGUAAAGCCCGUUUGUUGGGAAAGAAAAGCAGCCGGUUAAUACGCAGCUGUUCUGACGGUACCCACAGAAUAAGCACCGGCUAACUUCGUG
This 492-nucleotide ribosomal RNA is filed under the name uncultured bacterium. RNAcentral's name for it is "partial 16S ribosomal RNA". It matches the Rfam family "Bacterial small subunit ribosomal RNA", at positions 29 to 507 of the family's 1533-position model. The record is from RNAcentral.